UUAAAGAGUUCUAUAACUCCCAAACCCAUGUGAACAUACCUAACGUUGCCUCGGCAGGUCGCACCUACCUUGUAGCACCCUACCCUGUAGGGCCUACCCGGGAGGUGCGGGUAAGCCUGCCGGCGGCCCACCAAACUCUGUUUGAUAUUGAAUUCUGAACCUAUAACUAAAUAAGUUAAAACUUUCAACAACGGAUCUCUUGGUUCUGGCAUCGAUGAAGAACGCAGCGAAAUGCGAUAAGUAAUGUGAAUUGCAGAAUUCAGUGAAUCAUCGAAUCUUUGAACGCAUAUUGCGCCCAUUAGUAUUCUAGUGGGCAGGACCGUUCGAGCGUCAUUUCAACCCUUAAGCCUUCGUUGCUUAGUGUUGGGAGCCUACGGCAACGUAGCUCCUCAAAGUUAGUGGCGGAGUUGGUUCACACUCUAGACGUAGUAAUUUUUUAUCUCGCCUAUUAGUUGGACUAAUCCCCUGCCGUAAAACCCCCAAUUUAUAUCAAGGUUGACCUCGAAUCGGUUCAGACAAACUCGCUAAAUUGAAGCAUCUUAGUCAGCGAAGGAAAAGAAACCAACAGGGAUUGCCCUA
Molecule: ribosomal RNA, 579 nt
Filed under: fungal endophyte
Lineage: Eukaryota; Fungi
Description: eukaryotic LSU rRNA
Rfam family: 5.8S ribosomal RNA (bases 180-333)
Source: RNAcentral